Molecule: long non-coding RNA, 423 nt
Organism: Patella vulgata (common limpet)
Lineage: Eukaryota; Metazoa; Mollusca; Gastropoda; Patellidae
Exons: 3
Source: RefSeq, a predicted model, not a curated record
UAUCGUUGCAAGAAAUAAGUCUUAUCAAUUAAGGAGAGGGAUCAUUCUUUCAGCGUUCCCCAAGCAACCAGGAUGAAGGCCGUCAUAGCACUUGUUUUACUGACUACCGUAGCCACACAGGCUUUUCUGUUCAACAGAUGUAGUACAGACACUGAUUGUAACAAUGGCUGCUGUCAACGCAGUUUCUUCAGCAGUCGAUGUGUGGCUAAAAGCCAGUAUUUACAGUCAUGCUCAACUACAUCAUGUGGCUGUGCUGCAGGUUUGACUUGCGUAAACGAAGCAGAAGUUACCAGUGUUGCUAUCGAGACCAAUCCAGGAGGAAAUGGCAUGGUCUGUGAACGAACCGGUGCUACAGCUGCCCCAGCUUCCACUCCAUCUGCUUAAUAUAAUCAUCAUUAGCGGAUUAAACUGUUUUAAAUAUUA